This 96-nucleotide ribosomal RNA is filed under the name Saimiri boliviensis boliviensis (Bolivian squirrel monkey). Lineage: Eukaryota; Metazoa; Chordata; Mammalia; Primates; Cebidae. The record is from RNAcentral.
CCUCCCUGAAUGCACCCGAUCUCAUCUGAUCUCGGAAGCUAAUCAGGGUCGGGCCUGGUUAGUACUUGGAUUGGAGACCGCCUGGGAAUACUGGGU